RNAcentral lists this ribosomal RNA (750 nucleotides) under uncultured Clostridium sp. Its description in RNAcentral is "bacterial SSU rRNA". It matches the Rfam family "Bacterial small subunit ribosomal RNA", at positions 28 to 774 of the family's 1533-position model. The record is from RNAcentral. Lineage: Bacteria; Bacillati; Bacillota; Clostridia; Eubacteriales; Clostridiaceae.
GAUGAACGCUGGCGGCGUGCGUAAUACAUGCAAGUCGAACGCUUCGAUUUAUCGAAGAGUGGCGAACGGGUGAGUAAUACAUAAGUAACCUGUCCUUAACAGGGGGAUAACUACUAGAAAUGGUAGCUAAGACCGCAUAGGUGGAUUGAUCGCAUGAUCGAUUCAUUAAAAGACCUUUCAAGGUCUGGAUAAGGAUGGACUUAUGUCGCAUUAGCUAGUUGGUAAGGUAACGGCUUACCAAGGCGACGAUGCGUAGCCGGCCUGAGAGGGUGAACGGCCACAUUGGGACUGAGACACGGCCCAAACUCCUACGGGAGGCAGCAGUAGGGAAUUUUCGGCAAUGGGGGAAACCCUGACCGAGCAACGCCGCGUGAAGGAAGAAGGAAUUCGUUUCGUAAACUUCUGUUAUAAAGGAAGAAAGAUGAUAUCAGGAAAUGGAUGUCAAGUGACGGUACUUUAUGAGAAAGCCACGGCUAACUACGUGCCAGCAGCCGCGGUAAUACGUAGGUGGCAAGCGUUAUCCGGAAUUAUUGGGCGUAAAGAGGGAGCAGGCGGUAACAAAGGUCUGUGGUGAAAGCCUGAAGCUUAACUUCAGUAAGCCAUAGAAACCAGGUAACUAGAGUGCAAGAGAGGAUCGUGGAAUCCCAUGUGUAGCGGUGAAAUGCGUAGAUAUAUGGAGGAACACCAGUGGCGAAGGCGACGAUCUGGCUUGUAACUGACGCUGAGUCCCGAAAGCGUGGGGAGCAAAUA